CUCUAGUAGGGUUGACUACUGUAAUGGCCUCUUAACUGGACUCCCGAAAAAGACUGUAAAACAGCUGCAGCUCAUUCAGAAUGCUGCUGCUAGAAUGUUAACCAGGACCAAGAGGACAGAGCACAUCACUGCACAGUCAGGGUACCGUUGGCUAGCACGUGGAGGUCUGUGCGACUCUCCAAGGAUAUGCCUCCCCAGACCAUCACUGACCCACCGCCAAACCGGUCAUGCUGGAUGAUGUUGCAGGCAGCAUAACGUUCACCACGGCAUCUCCAGACUCUUUUACGUCUGUCACAUUUGGUUAAUGUUUGCAUUGAGUGGC
Molecule: long non-coding RNA, 322 nt
Organism: Esox lucius (northern pike)
Lineage: Eukaryota; Metazoa; Chordata; Actinopteri; Esociformes; Esocidae
Source: Ensembl